This 1442-nucleotide ribosomal RNA is filed under the name metagenome. RNAcentral's name for it is "bacterial LSU rRNA". It matches the Rfam family "Bacterial large subunit ribosomal RNA", at positions 1497 to 2925 of the family's 2925-position model. The record is from RNAcentral.
GAUGGAUGUCUGUCUAACUUUGUAGGGGUUAUGUGAGGCAAAUCCUUGCAUUAUAAAUCCCUGAUGAAGGACGGGGACUGUGCAGCGAUGCAUGGGAACUUGGAGGAGCCGUACUGCCAAGAAAGAGCCGCUCAGGGAGGUUAUUUGUUGCCCGUACCGGAAAUCGACACAGGUGGACGAGGGUAGUACCCAAAGGCGCACAAGAGAACCCCUGUUAAGGAACUCGGCAAAAUGCACGUGUAACUUCGGGAUAAGCGUGGCCUCAAGUAGGUGAUGGGGAGAAACCGAAGCUGAAAGAGGUUGCAAAAAAGAGGCUCUGGCGACUGUUUACCAAAAACACAGAUCUCUGCUAAGACUUAAGUCUAAGUAUAGGGAUUGAGACCUGCCCGGUGCCAGAAGGUUAAAGAAGGGGGUCAACGGGGUAACCCGUGAAGCUCUUGACUGAAGCCCUGGUAAACGGCGGCUGUAACAAUAACAGUCCUAAGGUAGCGAAAUUCCUUGUCGGGUAAGUUCCGACCUGCAUGAAUGGUAUAACGACUGGAGCGCUGUCUCAACAGGGGACAUGGUGAAAUUGAAGUAUCGGUGCAAAUACCGAUUACCCGCAGCUAGACGGUAAGACCCUGUGAACCUUUACUGUACCCUGGCAUUGUAUUCUGGCACGUUCUGUGUAGGAUAGGUGGGAGGCUAUGAAGCGUGGGCGCCAGCUUGCGUGGAGCCAACCUUGAAAUACCACCCUUAACGUGUCGGACUACUAACGGAUGCUGUGGAAGCAUCUAGACAGUGCCAGGCGGGCAGUUUGACUGGGGCGGUCACCUCCCAAAGUGUAACGGAGGUGUACGAAGGUUCCCUCGAGCUGUAUAGAAAUCAGCUGAAAGAGCGUAAAGGUAUAAGGGAGCUUGACUGCGAGAGAGACAUCUCGAGCAGGGACGAAAGUCGGUCUUAGUGAUCCGGUGGUUUUUGUAUGGAAAAGCCAUCGCUUAACGGACAAAAGGUACUCCGGGGAUAACAGGCUGAUACCGCCCAAGAGUUCACAUCGACGGCGGUGUUUGGCACCUCGAUGUCGGCUCAACUCAUCCUGGGGCUGAAGUAGGUCCCAAGGGUUCGGCUGUUCGCCGAUUAAAGAGUUACGUGAGCUGGGUUCAGAACGUCGUGAGACAGUUCGGUCCCUAUCUACUGUGGGCGCUGGAUAUUUGAGGGGAGCUGUUCCUAGUACGAGAGGAUCGGAAUGGACGUACCUCUGGUGCACCAGUUGUCGUGCCAACGGCACAGCUGGGUAGCUAUGUACGGAAGGGAUAACCACUGAAAGCAUCUAAGUGGGAAGCCUCCCCCAAGAUUAGAUAUCCCUUAAGGUUCCAGGUAGACUACCUGGUUGAUAGGUCACAGGUGUAAGUACAGUAAUGUAUUCAGCCGAGCGAUACUAAUAAACCGUUUGACUUGCCCCU